UUGCCAGCUCGUCCUCCGGGAUGGUGGGGACGACUGUUGGGACCGCCUCUGCUAAAGAGGAGGAAGGAAUGGGCAACGGUAGGUCAGCAUGCCCCGAAUUAUCUGGGCUACACGCGGGCUACAAUGGGUGGGACAAUGGGUAUCGACACCGAAAGGUGAAGGCAAUCUCCUAAACCCAUCCGUAGUUCGGAUUGUGGGCUGCAACUCGCCCACAUGAAGCUGGAAUCUGUAGUAAUCGUGUCUCAAAAUGGCACGGUGAAUAUGUCCCUGCUCCUU
This 276-nucleotide ribosomal RNA is filed under the name uncultured Methanomicrobiales archaeon. Its description in RNAcentral is "partial 16S ribosomal RNA". It matches the Rfam family "Archaeal small subunit ribosomal RNA", at positions 1064 to 1338 of the family's 1478-position model. The record is from RNAcentral. Lineage: Archaea; Methanobacteriati; Methanobacteriota; Methanomicrobia; Methanomicrobiales.